AACGAACGCCGGCGGCAUGCCUAACACAUGCAAGUCGAACGAGACCUUCGGGUCUAGUGGCGCACGGGUGCGUAACGCGGGGGAACCUGCCUUUAGGUUCGGAAUAACUCAGAGACAUUUGAGCUAAUACCGGAGGAAGUCUUCGGACCAAAGAUUUAUCGCCUUUAGAUGGGCCCGCGGUGGAUUAGCUAGAUGGUGGGGUAAAGGCCUACCAAGGCGACGGUCCAUAGCUGGGCGGGGAGGAUGAUCAGCCACCCUGGGACUGAGACACGGCCCAGACUCCUACGUGAGGCAGCGGUGGGGAAUAUUGGACAAUGGGCGAGCGCCUGAGCCAGCUGUGCCGCGUAAGUUAUGCAUGCCUUAGGGUUGUAAAGCUCUUUUACCCGAGAUGAUAAUGACUGUAUCGGGUGAAUAAGCUCCGGCUAACUCCGUG
RNAcentral lists this ribosomal RNA (433 nucleotides) under uncultured bacterium. Its description in RNAcentral is "partial 16S ribosomal RNA". It matches the Rfam family "Bacterial small subunit ribosomal RNA", at positions 29 to 507 of the family's 1533-position model. The record is from RNAcentral.